UAAUACGAAGGGGGCUAGCGUUGUUCGGAAUUACUGGGCGUAAAGCGCGCGCAGGCGGUCUUCCAAGUCAGUGGUGAAAGCCCGGAGCUCAACUCCGGAACUGCCAUUGAAACUGUAAGACUUGAGGAUGAGAGAGGUGAGUGGAAUUCCCAGUGUAGAGGUGAAAUUCGUAGAUAUUGGGAAGAACACCGG
This 192-nucleotide ribosomal RNA is filed under the name uncultured bacterium. RNAcentral describes it as "partial 16S ribosomal RNA". It matches the Rfam family "Bacterial small subunit ribosomal RNA", at positions 521 to 712 of the family's 1533-position model. The record is from RNAcentral.